GAUGAACGCUGGCGGCGUGCCUAACACAUGCAAGUCGAGCGAUUUACUUCGGUAAAGAGCGGCGGACGGGUGAGUAACGCGUGGGUAAUCUGCCCUGUACACACGGAUAACAUACCGAAAGGUAUGCUAAUACGAGAUAAUAUACUUUUAUCGCAUGGUAGAAGUAUCAAAGCUCCGGCGGUACAGGAUGGACCCGCGUCUGAUUAGCUAGUUGGUAAGGUAACGGCUUACCAAGGCGACGAUCAGUAGCCGACCUGAGAGGGUGAUCGGCCACAUUGGAACUGAGACACGGUCCAAACUCCUACGGGAGGCAGCAGUGGGGAAUUUUACGCAAUGGGCGAAAGCCUGACGUAGCGACACCGCGUGAGCGAAGAAGCCCCUGGGGUGUAAAGCUCUGUCAGCUGGAACGAAAAAAUAGACGGUACCAGCAGAGGAAGCAUCGGCUAACUACGUGCCAGCAGCCGCGGUAU
RNAcentral lists this ribosomal RNA (470 nucleotides) under uncultured bacterium. RNAcentral's name for it is "bacterial SSU rRNA". It matches the Rfam family "Bacterial small subunit ribosomal RNA", at positions 28 to 523 of the family's 1533-position model. The record is from RNAcentral.